GGGCUACACUCUAUUGGCAUG
Molecule: microRNA, 21 nt
Filed under: Solanum tuberosum (potato)
Lineage: Eukaryota; Viridiplantae; Streptophyta; Magnoliopsida; Solanales; Solanaceae
Description: stu-miR399i-5p
Gene: stu-miR399i-5p
Source: miRBase by way of RNAcentral